RNAcentral lists this ribosomal RNA (587 nucleotides) under uncultured bacterium. Its description in RNAcentral is "partial 16S ribosomal RNA". It matches the Rfam family "Bacterial small subunit ribosomal RNA", at positions 355 to 1375 of the family's 1533-position model. The record is from RNAcentral.
UGGGGAAUUUUGGACAAUGGGCGAAAGCCUGAUCCAGCAAUGCCGCGUGUGUGAAGAAGGCCUUCGGGUUGUAAAGCACUUUUGUCCGGAAAGAAAUCCUUGGCUCUAAUACAGUCGGGGGAUGACGGUACCGGAAGAAUAAGCACCGGCUAACUACGUGCCAGCAGCCGCGGUAAUACGUAGGGUGCAAGCGUUAAUCGGAGUUACUGGGCGUAAAGCGUGCGCAGGCGGUUUGCUAAGACCGAUGUGAAAUCCCCGGGCUCAACCUGGGAACUGCAUUGGUGACUGGCAGGCUAGAGUAUGGCAGAGGGGGGUAGAAUUCCACGUGUAGCAGUGAAAUGCGUAGAGAUGUGGAGGAAUACCGAUGGCGAAGGCAGCCCCCUGGGGCCAAUACUGACGCUCAUGCACGAAAGCGUGGGGGAGCAAACAGGAUUAGAUACCCUGGUAGUCCACGCCCUAAACGAUGUCAACUAGUUGUUGGGGAUUCAUUUCCUUAGUAACGUAGCUAACGCGUGAAGUUGACCGCCUGGGGAGUACGGUCGCAAGAUUAAAACUCAAAUGAAUUGACGGGGUCAUAGCUGUUUCCU